Spodoptera frugiperda (fall armyworm) is the source of this 1172-nucleotide long non-coding RNA. RefSeq lists it as uncharacterized. Lineage: Eukaryota; Metazoa; Arthropoda; Insecta; Lepidoptera; Noctuidae. The transcript has 2 exons. The record is from RefSeq and is a predicted model, not a curated record.
CCUAGCGGGUUACCGGGGCUCCGGUUCGAAAAGCAGGAGUAGGAACGAUGUGGUUUUUAGUCAGUAAGUGUCUGACACUCCCUCUCGCCUCGGCCAAGGCGAGAGAAGACAUUGGAUGAUUUUCCACCCUUGUUUAUAGGUGCAUUUAUGGAUAGUCUUGCCGCGGCUGCUGUAGCGCCGUAUUUACAUCGACGCUACGGCACCCGCGGCUCCAUACAAAUGCAGAUUGGUACAAGUACAGUGACACCUCGAUGGCGGCUGCGCCACUACCGCUGCAGCGUAAUGUGUAAACGGUCUUAGCGUAGGGUAUUCAGAAGGAGAGGAUAGAAACUGGAUGUACACAAGCAUCUUUGUUUACAAAAGUACAGUGAUCAUAGUGUUACCUAAAAAUCUAAUUCAAACUAUAGAGUUAUAACUAUGAUAGUGCUUGUCAACGUCACUUCAGAUCAGAAUGCUUCAGACAGAUUGAACAGUCAACUUUGUAGACUAUAUAAAUAAAAAUGUCAAAACAAAACUCCGAUGUAGUCAGACAAGAAAUGUAGUCAUACAAACAAUACAUUUUGGUUACAAUACAAAUAGAAAGUAGACAAGCAAUACACCGUAUCACAUCAAGGAUGAGGAAAAGUAAAAUUGUCAUGGGUUAGAAAGAGCUGGAGAACACAGGACUCUUUAUGCUGUGUGCACAAAACAAUACGAAGUAGUUGAAAAUGGGGAAAGGCAAAGCUGCAAAGGCAGCAAAACCGCCUAAAGCAGCAAAAGGCGGGUCACAGAAGGGUGGAGCAGCUCCUGCCGCCUCAGGAGAUGAUAUCUGGAGCAAUAUCAAACAAUUUGGGCCAUGCGCGGGUGUCGGGAUCGUAGUGGCCUUGGUGGUGUUGACUCUGUACAUCUUGCUCGCUGACACCAUAAGAGAAUGGAUCAACGGCCCCUACGAGUGCAAUCGCGUCUGCAGAGGACCUUGCAGGUGGAGACGGCGGCGCUGCCAAUGUGAAUAGAAUAAGGAAAGUAGAAGAAGCUCGUCCACUAUUCCCAGAGGAACCGAUUGAGGAAUUUAUGAUUUAUAUUUUUGUACACAUUAUACAUAUAAUUAUAUACUUAUUUUCAAAUGUUUGUAUAAAAUGUGCUUUAAGGAAAAAUAUUUAAUGAAGCAAUAAACUAAUCAUUUCAUAACUUAA